AAUUGUUGGAAUUGGGGGAUUAGGUAAGACCACACUUGCUCAACUCAUAUUCAAUGAUGAGCACAUUAAGAAUUCAUUUGAGUUAAAAAUAUGGGUGUGCGUUUCAGAUCCUUUUGAUGUGAAACUGAUUGUUAGAAAAAUUUUGGAGUCCGCAACGAGUGCAAAAUCAUAAGAUCUUGAGCUAGAGCCAUUGAAAUCUAAACUUGGAAAAAUUAUUUAUGGGAAGAAAUAUCUACUAGUGCUUGAUGAUGUGUGGAAUGAGAAUCAAGAAAAAU
This 275-nucleotide unclassified non-coding RNA is filed under the name Hevea brasiliensis (rubber tree). Lineage: Eukaryota; Viridiplantae; Streptophyta; Magnoliopsida; Malpighiales; Euphorbiaceae. The record is from RNAcentral.